RNAcentral lists this ribosomal RNA (301 nucleotides) under uncultured bacterium. Its description in RNAcentral is "partial 16S ribosomal RNA". It matches the Rfam family "Bacterial small subunit ribosomal RNA", at positions 509 to 807 of the family's 1533-position model. The record is from RNAcentral.
CAGCAGCCGCGGUAAUCCGGAGGGGGCUAGCGUUGUCCGGAAUUACUGGGCGUGAAGCGCACGUAGGCGGCUUUGCAAGUCAGAGGUGAAAGCCCGGGGCUCAACUCCGGAAUAGCCUUUGAGACUGCAUCGCUUGAACACGGGAGAGGUGAGUGGAAUUCCGAGUGUAGAGGUGAAAUUCGUAGAUAUUCGGAAGAACACCAGUGGCGAAGGCGGCUCACUGGACCGUUGUUGACGCUGAGGUGCGAAAGCGUGGGGAGCAAACAGGAUUAGAUACCCGAGUAGUCCCUGUCUCUUAUAC